Molecule: long non-coding RNA, 3284 nt
Organism: Oncorhynchus tshawytscha (Chinook salmon)
Lineage: Eukaryota; Metazoa; Chordata; Actinopteri; Salmoniformes; Salmonidae
Source: Ensembl
AUGAGCUGGAUCUGCUCAGGAGAGAGUCUUACACGAACCACAUUUCAAAUGAUCCCAAAACAAAGGACCCAUCAAAGAAUAGUUCAAUCUGUAAGAGAAAGAAACACUACAGAGCCUAGGAACGAGGCAGAACGACAGAUUUUUACCUUGUCAGCUCGGGGGAUACAUUCUUGCAACCUUACAGUUAACUAGUCCAACGCUCUAACCACCUGCCUCACGAGGAGCCUGCCUGUUACGCAAAUGCAGUAAGCCAAGCACGACUGAGAGAAUCCUGUCGGACUGUAUUACCGCCUGGUACGGCAACUGCACCUCCUGCAACCGCAGGGCUCUCCAGGGGGUAGUGCGGUCUGCCCAACGCAUCCCCGGGGGCACACUGCCAGCCCUCCAGGCCAUCUACAGCACCCGAUGUCACAGGAAGGCCAAAAAAAUCAUCAAGGACAUCAACUACCCGAGCCACGGCCUGUUCACCCUGCUACUAGAAGUCGAGGGAGCACAAGUAGGAGCCUUUAUGUAGCCAGGGAGAGGAGAAGAGGUCACAAUCCACCCCUCUCUCUGUGUCACCAGACCAGGACACCAGUAGUCUGCCUAUCAACUGUUUCUAGGGGAUCUGGUUUCCAGCAAAGUGAUGUAUCCAGAUCCUUGAAAAAUCUUCCCGAUGUGAUGAUUCAACGAUGGCUUUAUCGCGUGGGCUUUUCUUCUUGGAUUUCAUGUUUUUUUUGUGUGUUUUGUUUUUUCAAUGAAUGGGGUCCAAGUAGAGAUGACCAGUAGGUAGAGUAGAUGCUCGGUCAUAUUUGUUCUUUGGGAAAUGCUUCAUGGCUAAUUUAGCUGAUGAUUGACCUUGUGACCUUAGAAUCUCAUAAUUCUAUCUAACAAAAUGAUGAUUCUGAGAUAAUUUGUAUACUAUAUGAGGCUGGGUACUAGUCUGUUUGUGCCAUCAUACCACUCUUUGUCAUGCAAAACAUAUUUGUAAAGACAAUGAGUUGACAUGACAGACUCCUUACCUAUCUCCUUUUGCCAAAUAUGCAAAGGAAUAUUCUUUGCGGAAUCAUUUUUGGCGAUAGCCUUAAGAUAAUGACUUGGUUUGACAGUUUAAAAUAAUUUAGGGACAUUCUCUAAAGCAAUGAAAUGCCACUAAAUCAUUAUUAAUGUGGGUUUGUUCAAUUCAUAUUGAUGAAUAAAUCCUUAAAAUGUUACUUAAUUAUUUAUAUUUCUGUAGUGACAGAAUCGGAGAGUAGUGACAGAAUCGGAGAGGAGUGAAUGAGGAUGGCCGGAUUCUUUCAAACACUAUGCUCUUUUCGCUUUUUAUUUACUUUAUGACUUUUCCUCCCUUCUUUACCUUGAACUCUGUGACGUUUUCAAACGAGGUCAAGGAAAAAGUCCACAUCUCAGAAAAAAUCUGAAUGCACCCCAGGUCUGGAGCUAAAGCCUGGACCAUGUAAACUCCCGACUUCAACUGUAGAACUGGUUUCAUAACAUCCCCUGGGAAUACAUUGCCACCAAGUGGUAAUUCUUUUAGCUUACUUAAGAGGUUGACAUCUUGUUGAAGUCUUACAAAAAAUUGGUGCGCUUCUUCAGAGAGGGAGAGUCCUUCCCACAGGGCCGUCGGGUGAGACAGGGAUGCAGUUUAAGCCCCACCCUCUUCAACAUAUACAGUUGAAGUCAGAAGUUUACAUACACCUUAGGCAAAUACAUUUAAACUCUGUUUUUCACAACUCCUGACAUUUAAUCCUAGUAAAAAUUCCCUGUCUUAGUUCAGUUAGGAUCUCCACUUUAUUUCAAGAAUGUGAAAUGUCAGAAUAUUAGUAGAGAGAAUGAUUUAUUUUAGCAUUUAUUUCUUUCAUCACAUUCCCAGUGGGUCAGAAGUUUACAUACAAUCAAUUAGUAUUUGGUAGCAUUGUCUUUAAAUUCUUUAACUUGGGUCAAAUGUUUCAGGUAGCCUUCCACAAGCUUCCCACAAUAAGUUGUGUGAAUUUUGGCCCAUUCCUCCUGAUAGAGCUGGUGUAACUGAGUCCUCCUUCCUCGCACAUGCAUUUUUAAGGCCCACAAAAUUUCUCUAGGAUUGAGGUCAGGGCUUUGUGAUGGCCACUCCAAUACCUUGACUUUGUUUUAAUUAAGCCCUUUUGCCACAACUUUGGAAGUAUGCUUGGGGUCAUUGUCCAUUUGGAAGACCCAUUUGCGACCAAGCUUUAACUUCCUGACUGAUAUCUGUGCGAUGUUGCUUCAAUAUUUCCACGUAAUUUUCCUACCGCAUGAUGCAAUCUAUUUUGUGAAGUGCACCAGUCCAUUCUGCAGCAAAGCACCCCCACAACAUGAUGCUGCCACCCCCGUGCUUCACAGUUGGGAUGGUGUUCUUUAGCUUGCAAGCCUUUCCCUUUUUCCUCCAAACAUAACGAUGGUCAUUAUGACCAAACAGUUCUAUUUUUGUUUCAUCAGACCAGAGGACAUUUCUCCAAAAAGUAUGAUCUUUGUCCCCAUGUGCAGUUGCAAACUGUAGUCUGGCUUUUUUAAUGGCGGUUUUGGAGCAGUGGCUUUUUACUUGCUGAGCGGCCUUUCAGGUUAUGUCGAUAUAGGACUCGUUUUACAAUGGAUAUAGAUACUUUUGUACCUGUUUUCUCCAGCAUUAUCACAAGAUCCUUUGCUGUUGUUCUGGGAUUGAUUUGCACUUUUCGCACCAAAGUACGUUCCUCUAUAGGAGACAGAAUGUGUCUCCUUCCUGAGAGGUAUGACGGCUGCAUGGUCCCAUGGUGUUUAUACUUGCAUACUAUUGUUUGUACAGAUGAACGUGGUACCUUCAGGCGUUUGGAAAUUGCUCACAAGGAUGAACCACACUUGAGGUCUACAUUUUUUUUUCUGAGGUCUUGGCUGAUUUCUUUUGAUUUUUCCAUGUUGUCAAGCAAAGAGGCACUGAGUUUGAAGGUAGGCCUUGAAAUACAUCCAAAGGUACACUUCCAAUUGACUCAAAUGAUGUCAAUUUAUGUCAACUUCUGACCCACAGGAAUAGUGAUACACUGAAUUAUAAGUAAAAUAAUCUGUCUGUAAACAAGUGUUGUAAAAAUGACUUGUGUCAUGCACAAAGUAGAUGUCCUAACCGACUUUCCAAAACUAUAAUUGUUUAUCAAGAAAUUUGUGGAGUGGUUGAAAAACGAGUUUUAAUGACUCCAACCUAAGUGUAUGUAAACUUCUGACAUCAACUGUAAAUGUGGAAUGUAAUUCAUUAUGGCUUAUUUUUGCUUUGAUAAUGUUUAUUCUGUACACAAUUCAAAUAAUGUGCUGCCAAAUUAAAU